This is a long non-coding RNA of Pezoporus flaviventris, 3258 nucleotides long. RefSeq lists it as uncharacterized. The transcript has 3 exons. Lineage: Eukaryota; Metazoa; Chordata; Aves; Psittaciformes; Psittacidae. The record is from RefSeq and is a predicted model, not a curated record.
CUAAGAAAUGGACCAUAAAAAUGGUAAGAAGGCUUAUCCAAUUCCAAAUAACAAUUGUUUGAACACCAAGCAGCUUAAGAAAGCAAGCAGUAUGAUCGUUCUCAUCCAGAACAGCAAAUCAUUGCUGAGGUAAAAUCGUUUGGCUGGUGGUAGCACAAUGAAAAUAUUAAUCCUAGUUGUUAAUCCUUUUAAUUUAUACAUAUUAUAUAAAUCAUGUUGCUUAUUUUUCUAAGCCUGCUGUUAGGAUUGGCUGCACACCGUUCUCCUUUGGAGGAUGGCUUGUUGAGGACUCCACUGGUGGGCCAGCUACUUUGGGCAUGUUUCAGAUGUAAUUACUGAAAAAGUGAGCCUGAAAAUUGCAUCAGGAUAGCCAGAGAUGAGCAUUUCUGUGAAUAAAACAGGAAGACCUAUUGCACAUUUUUGUAACUGGCCUGCAUAUGAAGGAGGAUUUCCACCAAAGGAGGAGUGGCAAAACUGGAACCACAUGGAGCCAUACCUGCAAGUGCCUCUAGAGUGACUACUCAAACCCACUCUUCAAACCCACUGUCCCAAAAAUGCAGCAGUUAAAUUUUUAAUCAUUACAAUCAAGGUACUUAGCUAAGAUACCCUUCUGAAGUGUUAGCUGCCCAAAUUAUGUAAAAAUAUGCAAAUAAAUUUUGUUGCUGGGCUAGAAAAUUUAAGAUUCAUUUGCACAGCCAUGCAGAAAGCUUUGAAAAUGUGAUUUAAAAAUUAAAUAGAAGAUGUAGGGCAUUUUUUAUUAAUUCAGAUGAAAAACACUAAAGAGUAAAUAAAUUUGAAUGACUGAUACAAAUAAAAGUUCUGCGCUGUAAACUUAACUUCCAUUUUUGAGCUUACUGAGCCUUGACACUGCAUACCCUUAAGAUCUAUAAAUCUUUUAAGGUGUUUUACCAUUUUCUUAAGGGAGUCACAUUUGCAAAAUUUCUUAUGAUCAGACAAAUGUAUCUGUCUGGACACAAAGGCUGUUAUUUCAUUACGAACCAUAAUAUACAUGGCUUCAAUUCUUAAUUUAAUGGUAUCUGAUCUAUUUCAGGUGAUGGUAGGUAAUUUUGGCCAGGGUAAUGAGCAGUGUCAGUUCUGUGGGCAGUUCUCACAGCACCUCACUUCAUAUCCAAUGAGCUAAGCAAGGACACUUCCUUAGAGUACAGAACAUAUCCUGAAAAAUGAGAUAUUGAUUUAUACAUAUCAAGAUGCUUCAGAGCUUCAAGGAAAGCACAUCAUGAAAGUACUCAUUUGUCAACUUUCUUCUUUGAGAGAAGGUUUUAAUUCUUAACACUGUUAGUCUUUACAGUUUCCCUAAAGAGUAUCGGAUUUUCUUGUACCCUUUAGAAAUACUCUUUUCCUAUGCCCAUUUAAUUUAUUGGAUUAUUUUAUUCUGUUUGAUUUUCUCUAUCUGUUGUCUUAUUUGUGCAUUAUAAACACACGUUGGAGAUUAAGGUGAAGAAAAUUACACCUAUUAUCUGACCUAUUUGCUAACAUAAUCUUUACAUCACUGUUGGAACUAGCUAACCCAUUAUCAUAAGCUUCAGCUGUUUACAUCAGGUCUUAAUUUUGUCAUUUUCUUUUCUGUAACUAUGGCUGCACUGAUGAAUUUAACAAUAUAAGAUGUGUCUGAUACUGCCUUGGAAGACAGAGAAUGUCACUGCAUCCACUGUUAGUAUGAAUCUCUGGAAGUGUUUUACUCGAUAUACAAUGUUUGUUGUAGCUGUACUUUACAGCAGUACGUUUUUGUUAGAUACAAUAUCUUGAGUUUUCAACUCAGUAGUCCUGUCUUUAUUUGCUUUUGUGUUUAGAGGUUAACUAGAACAGAUAUUUAAUGCUGAAGAAUUCUAGUGUAACUCAAAAGAUGGAAUUUGGGUAAAGUUAAUUGAUCUCUUUUCCAUCACAGGUUAUAUAUGAGGUUUAAAUCUGUCCAUAAAGAAGAUGGAGAGGGGAAAACAGUGGUUUAUAAUCCAAUUCAUUUAAAGAAUGGUGCUUUAGCAAAUAACAUGGGCAGAUGUGAGGAAUACCUCUCCUGUCUCAUUUUACCCAAAGGAAUCCAGGUCACAUGCUCUGAGACAACUCUAUAAAAAGCACAGUACAUAGCUUACUUCUGAGCCAGACUAAAAUGCUAACACUUUGCCAGUUAGAUUGCUCGUAGCAGGAGUCAGUUCUUUGAAGAAAGUUUUGCAAGAGACCUUUGCAUAAACAAGCAGGGAUCAAGCCAUAUUUCUCUUUUUGCAGUCAGGUAUCCUAAUCACAAGAUAGAGUGUCACUGGUGCAUGGUUCUUUCUCUCUCACUUGAGUAAGAGACACUAAUUCUUUUCACAAUUUCAGCAAAAGGAGUAGAAGCAGUAGUUGCUUACAAACCUCUUUAAGCUGACAAUUAGAUUAUCCUUUUAGUAGGAAUGCCAAGUAGGUUAAAUAUCUUCAAGGCCUCUAAACUGCAGCUCUUCGAUCCUGAAAGCUAGUAACACAUUGGCACUAUGUCUGAUUCCCUGCAGUCUUAGGUCAAAAUGGCUAAAUGUUGCACCUCUCUGCUGUGUUUAAUCAUAUCCGUGUGGCUAAAAUAGAAAAUCCCCAGUCAUCAUGUUGGCUCUUAAGAAUUCUUAACUCCAUACACUAUGGAGAAAGUUCAGGCCCUUCCCAUAGAGAAUCAGCCACCACAAUGCUCAGUUAUAGACCAAUACCUGCAAACAGUAUAAGAAGUUAUUCAUCAGCUGAUCUUAACUGUCAUCCUUAUUCCAAACAGUCAAGCAGUCAUCUGAAGCUCAGGUUUAUAAGCGCUCGUAAAAAUAGCAAAGCAUUUUCAAGCUGACUGAGUAUAAAAACACAAUUAAGGAAUUCUUCAGGCUUACCUCUGACACAUUUGAAGGAAUUGGAGUUUCAAGUUUUAACAGUAGUGUUUACUUUUUGUUUUAUAUCAUUCUACUUCAUAUUAGAGAACCUGAAAACCAAACCCAAAACCAUUUUAAUAAUCUGUCUCCUAAAAUGUAGUGGAACAAAAGCCACAUUACAAAACUAACAAUUUUAUGUAUACACUGAAAAACUCUGACUGAAUUUAAGUAAAACCUUAAAUAAGGGUGUCCAGACUUGUUUAGGUGCUUUUGACAGAAAACCAAAGGAGGCUGAAGCUAGCUGGUGUGUUCAACCUAGCUUAUUUCCGAUUUUAUACUGCUGAGUAUUGAGCUGAUGACAGAUUUUUCUGUUCUCUUUACAAUCGUUACUGAAAUACAGGAUUUCUCUUCAGAGACAACUCUU